GAUGAACGCUAGCUACAGGCUUAACACAUGCAAGUCGAGGGGAAACGAUAUUGGAAGCUUGCUUCCGAUAGGCGUCGACCGGCGCACGGGUGAGUAACGCGUAUCCAACCUGCCCAUCACUUGGGGAUAACCUUGCGAAAGUAAGACUAAUACCCAAUGACGUCUCUAGAAGACAUCUGAAGGAGAUUAAAGAUUUAUCGGUGAUGGAUGGGGAUGCGUCUGAUUAGCUUGUUGGCGGGGUAACGGCCCACCAAGGCGACGAUCAGUAGGGGUUCUGAGAGGAAGGUCCCCCACAUUGGAACUGAGACACGGUCCAAACUCCUACGGGAGGCAGCAGUGAGGAAUAUUGGUCAAUGGACGAGAGUCUGAACCAGCCAAGUAGCGUGCAGGAUGACGGCCCUAUGGGUUGUAAACUGCUUUUAUAAGGGAAUAAAGUGAGUCUCGUGAGACUUUUUGCAUGUACCUUAUGAAUAAGGACCGGCUAAUUCCGUGCCAGCAG
Molecule: ribosomal RNA, 499 nt
Filed under: uncultured bacterium
Lineage: Bacteria
Description: bacterial SSU rRNA
Rfam family: Bacterial small subunit ribosomal RNA
Source: RNAcentral